CUCCUCGCUUUCCUCCACCCGAGCUCCGCCGGCUGCUCCUUGAGAGGAAGGGGACUCGCUAGACCAGGCCGAGGCCCAGCCUCAGAAGUCAGCAUUUUCAAGACCUGGCAUCCGCAGCGUUUCUGUCGCGGGGACUUCUCUCUUCGGCUCUGAGGUCUCCGCGCGCAGAACCCAUGGCAGCUUUUGGUCUUACGCGUGGCUGUGAGCUGGGCUCACGCUGCGUGGCGCAUCCACCCCUCGACUGACGCGCGGAGAAGCAUUUUUCAUUUUUUCUUUCAGCUUCCCUGUUUUCAAACAAACAUCAGAUUUAAGAAGGUGAGGACUCCAAAGAAGAUCCAAACGCGAGACCAGGAAGAUUCACGUUUCCACUACUUCUUCCAAUACAUUUCACUAAUUUCUA
RNAcentral lists this long non-coding RNA (400 nucleotides) under Pan troglodytes (chimpanzee). RNAcentral describes it as "lincRNA". The record is from RNAcentral. Lineage: Eukaryota; Metazoa; Chordata; Mammalia; Primates; Hominidae.